This 440-nucleotide ribosomal RNA is filed under the name uncultured bacterium. Its description in RNAcentral is "partial 16S ribosomal RNA". It matches the Rfam family "Bacterial small subunit ribosomal RNA", at positions 338 to 795 of the family's 1533-position model. The record is from RNAcentral.
CCUACGGGUGGCAGCAGUGGGGAAUAUUGCACAAUGGGGGAAACCCUGAUGCAGCGACGCCGCGUGAGUGAAGAAGUAUUUCGGGAUGUAAAGCCCUAUCAGCAGGGAAGAAAAUGACGGUACCUGACUAAGAAGCCCCGGCUAACUGCGUGCCAGCAGCCGCGGUAAUACGGAGGGGGCAAGCGUUAUCCGGAUUUACUGGGCGUAAAGGGAGCGUAGACGGUGAUGCAAGUCAGAAGUGAAAGCCCGGGGCGCAACCCCGGGACUGCGUUUGAAACUGUGUGGCUGGAGUGCAGGAGAGGGAAGCGGAAUUCCUGGUGUAGCGGUGAAAUGCGUAGAUAUCAGGAGGAACACCAGUGGCGAAGGCGGCUUACUGGACUGUAACUGACGUUGAGGCUCGAAAGCGUGGGGAGCAAACAGGAUUAGAUACCCCGGUAGUC